GCUGGGCGUGGUGGCGCGUGCCUGUAGUCCCAGCUACUCAGGAGGCUGAGAUACACGAGAAUUGCUUGAACCCAGGAGGCAGAGGUUGCAGUGAGCAGAGAUCAUGCCACUGCACUCCACCCUGGGUAACAGAGUGAGACCGUGUCUCAA
Macaca fascicularis (crab-eating macaque) is the source of this 150-nucleotide unclassified non-coding RNA. It matches the Rfam family "Metazoan signal recognition particle RNA". Rfam says of the family: The signal recognition particle (SRP) is a universally conserved ribonucleoprotein. It is involved in the co-translational targeting of proteins to membranes. NCBI's taxonomy places the organism in Eukaryota, Metazoa, Chordata, Mammalia, Primates, Cercopithecidae. The record is from Ensembl.